This 2426-nucleotide long non-coding RNA is filed under the name Polistes fuscatus (common paper wasp). RNAcentral describes it as "uncharacterized LOC122519630". The record is from RNAcentral. Lineage: Eukaryota; Metazoa; Arthropoda; Insecta; Hymenoptera; Vespidae.
AAGUUUAGCAAUAAUCAUAAAAUAUAUUUUAAAUAUGUUUUUUUUUCAUCACCGUUUGUUCGUCAGAUGAUUGUAUUUGUGAGUUGGCUACUUGAAGUGGCACGGCUCUUGAUAAAGAUUUACUAUUUCCAAUAUUUCCUCUUCCCUGAUUAUCUACGACUUUUUGUAAAGCUAUCAUUAAUUGAUCAAAUAAUAAAGCUGCACGUUUUGGUACAACCUGUUAACAAAUAUGAGUUAAAAAAGAGCAUUAAAGUAAAGAAUUUAAUAUGAUUUAUGAUUGUCAAAUAAGUAUAAUCAUUUUGAUUUAUUAAGGGUAAACAAGUAUUACAAAUUAGGACAAGAAAUAUUCAAAUUUAUUUUUAGUCACAAAUAUAUACACAUGUUAUACUUCUAUAAAUAUAUUCAAUAUUUUGACUUGCGUAGUGUCACGAAGCCCUCGUAGUAUACAUGCAGAAAGCGUGUACGCACAAGCGAUUUUUAUUGAAUUUUUUAUACAGUAUAUCGUCACACGAAUAAUCGAUAAUUUUGAUAUGUCGUUGCCAUUGUUAUGGAUUUCCAAAAUAUAUCGAUAACGAGUAAAAGGUUAGAAAUAAUAAUUUUUAAUUGCUUCGUAAUUGGCCGCGAUUAAUUAAUUGAGAUAACAGUGAUUGCAUUUUGAAAAGUCAAUCAGAUCGAUCAGUUCCAAUGAAGGAUAGUGCCGUUUAAUUAAAGAAAUUCAUUAUUCAUAUAUAUUUCGUGCAACAUUUCCACCUGUCACAUUCCGAUAUCAUCUUUUGUUCAAAUAUUAUCAGUAAUUAUUAAUUAUUUGAUAAUAUGUAUUAGAAGAGUAUCAAGAUAAAAAAAUUGUUAUAUAUGAAGUAGAACACAUUGAUUGGUCAAUGAAGCGACAAUGAGUCGGUUAAUUAGAUUAGUGAUAUUAUUGCUCGAAGCGAUUUCUAAACUUGUUGGUCCUUAUCUGAAUCCAAUUAUCAUGCUUCGUUUAUCUAUGCGCGAUCUAAAUUUAUCCAUACACAGAUAAAGUAGAUUCUUUCUUUUUCUUGUUAUAAAAAGAUUUAAGUUUCCACGUGUCUAUCUAUUUUUAUAAUUAUUUAUAAAGACUCGAUGCCGAAUCGGUUCCCUUGUGUAAAUUUGUAUUUGAUUCACGUAGUAUUUCAAAAGUAAAAUGGCGACAGUGUUGUUGAAUUCAAGACGAUUAUAUAUAAAAUAUUCUUUGAAUGGAUAGGUGGAUGUUAUUACAAUUCACAAUUGUACACUUUCACGAAUGGAAACUGAAACUACAAACAGAUAUUUCUGGGUUGGCAAAUAUGUGUUGAAUGUAAACAUCAAAUCAAGAAAUGAAAGAAAAAGAAGAGAAAAGAGAGAUGACGAUUUCUUGCAAUCUUGCAACCUUUAUUCCUGUUUUUAUUUAUCCGAUCGAUUUCCCAAAGGUACGUGUCAAAUGAUAAACUUUUAUUGUCUUUUUUAACAUCUUCAUGGAAUAAGGUUAGAUUUGUAAAACGCAAAGGACGAAGGAAAAAGAAGAAAUUUAAAUGUUUUUUAAUUGAAUUUGAAUCGAUUGUAUUUAAAAAUACCGCGUGAUGUUCGGGUUAAAUUUUUAAAGUUCAUCAAUCGUUUUUUUUCGUCUUUGCUCGGAUACGCUCGGCUUUUCGCAUCUCUUUUCGCGGGAAAUAUUCGGAAAUAUGAAAGUUCACGUUAUAUGUUAAUAAUAAAGCGUACGAUUUGAAAGGAGAAUGAUAACAAAUUUAACGAGAUGAAAAAUAAAUAGAAGAAAAUAAUAUAUAAAUGAAGAAUAUCAAUAUUUCAUUUAAUAUAGAGAGUUGAUAUUAUUUAAUGUAUAUAUAGAGAGAAUAUCAUGCAUGUAAUUUAUGUUCAUCAUCAUCAUCAUCAUCAUCAUCAUCAUCAUCAUUUAUGUUAGCUGUACAAUAAUAUUCGAUUGUAUCGAAUUGAUUGUAUAAAUAUUAAAGCUAUAUGUUGUAAAGCAUAUUCUUGUAAAAUUAAGUUUCGAGUAGGUGAAGAUAAUUCAAUCACAGAAAGAAUUGGAAAACCGACAUAUUUUAUUUUAUGUUUUUUUAAUUUCCGUAUAAACUAAACGUAAAUACGUACUCACAUAAAUACGUUAUUACUUGCUAGGUAAAUGAAAUUUCGUAGACAUAUUAUUGAACUAUCAUGAAUAUGUCGUGUCUGUACAUUUUUGUCAAAAGUUUGUAAUUACGAUUUAUUUUAAUUUUCAUUUCCAUUCUUAAUAGUAUUCUUCAAAAUGGAAAUUUUUGCUUCAAAGGAAUGUCGUUGAAUAAAAGAAAAAUGUAUUAAAAUAAAAAAAAUAAAAAUAUACAAAUUGUUUUUUCAACGUUAUCAUUGCAAAUUGUUACUGGUUUUUGAAUGGGAAUGUAUUAUGAAAAGUUUUAACGAGAGAGAAAGAGAGAAAA